Molecule: ribosomal RNA, 451 nt
Filed under: uncultured bacterium
Lineage: Bacteria
Description: partial 16S ribosomal RNA
Rfam family: Bacterial small subunit ribosomal RNA
Source: RNAcentral
AGCGAACGCUGGCGGCAGGCUUAACACAUGCAAGUCGAGCGGGCAUAGCAAUAUGUCAGCGGCAGACGGGUGAGUAACGCGUGGGAACGUACCUUUUGGUUCGGAACAACACAGGGAAACUUGUGCUAAUACCGGAUAAGCCCUUACGGGGAAAGAUUUAUCGCCGAAAGAUCGGCCCGCGUCUGAUUAGCUAGUUGGUGAGGUAAUGGCUCAGCAAGGCGACGAUCAGUAGCUGGUCUGAGGGGAUGAUCAGCCACAUUGGGACUGAGACAGGGCCCAAAAGCCUACGAGAGGAAGCAGUGGUAGAUGUUGGACAAUGGGCGCAAGCUUGAUCCAGCAAUGCCGCGUGAGUGAUGAAGGCCCUAGGGUUGUAAAGCUGUUUUGUGCAGGAAUAUAAUGACGGUACCGCAAGAAUAAGCCCCGGCUAACUUCGUGCCAGCCGCCGCAGUAA